This 64-nucleotide transfer RNA is filed under the name Cautires sp. UPOL MM0036. Its description in RNAcentral is "tRNA-Leu". The record is from RNAcentral. Lineage: Eukaryota; Metazoa; Arthropoda; Insecta; Coleoptera; Lycidae.
UAUUUUGGCAGAUUAGUGUAUUUGAUUUAGAAUCAUUUUAAGUAAUUUAGGUUACAGGUAAUAA